This 260-nucleotide ribosomal RNA is filed under the name uncultured bacterium. Its description in RNAcentral is "partial 16S ribosomal RNA". It matches the Rfam family "Bacterial small subunit ribosomal RNA", at positions 96 to 353 of the family's 1533-position model. The record is from RNAcentral.
UGGCGGACGGGUGAGUAACGCGUGGGUAACCUGCCCUGUACAGGGGGGAUAACAGUCAGAAAUGACUGCUAAUACCGCAUAAGACCACAGCACCGCAUGGUGCAGGGGUAAAAACUCCGGUGGUACAGGAUGGACCCGCGUCUGAUUAGCUGGUUGGUGAGGUAACGGCUCACCAAGGCGACGAUCAGUAGCCGGCUUGAGAGAGUGAACGGCCACAUUGGGACUGAGACACGGCCCAAACUCCUACGGGAGGCAGCAUG